RNAcentral lists this ribosomal RNA (254 nucleotides) under uncultured bacterium. RNAcentral describes it as "partial 16S ribosomal RNA". It matches the Rfam family "Bacterial small subunit ribosomal RNA", at positions 524 to 776 of the family's 1533-position model. The record is from RNAcentral.
CACGUAGGGGGCAAGCGUUGUCCGGAUUUAUUGGGCGUAAAGAGCUCGUAGGCGGCUUAGUAAGUCGGGUGUGAAACCUCCAGGCUCAACCUGGAGACGCCACCCGAUACUGCUGUGGCUAGAGUCCGGAAGAGGAGAGUGGAAUUCCUGGUGUAGCGGUGAAAUGCGCAGAUAUCAGGAAGAACACCCGUGGCGAAGGCGGCUCUCUGGGACGGUACUGACGCUGAGACGCGAAAGCGUGGGGAGCGAACAGG